Molecule: long non-coding RNA, 842 nt
Organism: Oncorhynchus keta (chum salmon)
Lineage: Eukaryota; Metazoa; Chordata; Actinopteri; Salmoniformes; Salmonidae
Exons: 8
Source: RefSeq, a predicted model, not a curated record
UCUGUGUAUAAUACCAUUCUCCCCAGGUCCCUCUCUCUGUGUAUAAUACCAUUCUCCCCAGGUCCCUCUCUCUGUGUAUAAUACCAUUCUCCCCAGGUCCCUCUCUGUGUAUAAUACCAUUCUCCCCAGGUCCCUCUCUCUGUGUAUAAUACCAUUCUCCCCAGGUCCCUCUCUGUGUAUAAUACCAUUCUCCCCAGGUCCCUCUCUGUGUAUAAUACCAUUCUCCCCAGGUCCCUCUCUCUGUGUAUAAUACCAUUCUCCCCAGGUCCCUCUCUGUGUAUAAUACCAUUCUCCCCAGGUCCCUCUCUCUGUGUAUAAUACCAUUCUCCCCAGGUCCCUCUCUGUGUAUAAUACCAUUCUCCCCAGGUCCCUCUCUCUGUGUAUAAUACCAUUCUCCCCAGGUCCCUCUCUCUGUGUAUAAUACCAUUCUCCCCAGGUCCCUCUCUCUGUGUAUAAUACCAUUCUCCCCAGGUCCCUCUCUCUGUGUAUAAUACCAUUCUCCCCAGGUCCCUCUCUCUGUGUAUAAUACCAUUCUCCCCAGGUCCCUCUCUCUGUGUAUAAUACCAUUCUCCCCAGGUCCCUCUCUGUGUAUAAUACCAUUCUCCCCAGGUCCCUCUCUGUGUAUAAUACCAUUCUCCCCAGGUCCCUCUCUCUGUGUAUAAUACCAUUCUCCCCAGGUCCCUCUCUCUGUGUAUAAUACCAUUCUCCCCAGGUCCCUCUCUCUGUGUAUAAUACCAUUCUCCCCAGGUCCCUCUCUCUGUGUAUAAUACCAUUCUCCCCAGGUCCCUCUCUCUGUGUAUAAUACCAUUCUCCCCAGGUCCCUCUCUCUGUGUAUAAUACCA